GUAGAGGAGAUGGCGCAGGGGACACGGGCCAAGACUAGGGGUUGCUGGGACCUCCCGACAUAGGUCCUCCUCUCCCUCCUCCCAG
This 85-nucleotide microRNA precursor is filed under the name Sus scrofa (pig). RNAcentral's name for it is "mir-877 microRNA precursor family". It matches the Rfam family "mir-877 microRNA precursor family". The record is from Rfam by way of RNAcentral. Lineage: Eukaryota; Metazoa; Chordata; Mammalia; Artiodactyla; Suidae.